AUCCUUCGGGGUGAGUGGCAGACGGGUGAGUAACGCGUGGGAACGUGCCCUUCAGUUCGGAAUAACCCAGGGAAACUUGGGCUAAUACCGGAUACGUGCGAGAGCAGAAAGAUUUAUCGCUGAAGGAUCGGCCCGCGUCUGAUUAGCUAGUUGGUGGGGUAAUGGCCCACCAAGGCGACGAUCAGUAGCUGGUCUGAGAGGAUGAUCAGCCACAUUGGGACUGAGACACGGCCCAAACUCCUACGGGAGGCAGCAGUGGGGAAUAUUGGACAAUGGGCGCAAGCCUGAUCCAGCCAUGCCGCGUGAGUGAUGAAGGCCUUAGGGUUGUAAAGCUCUUUCAGCGGGGACGAUAAUGACGGUACCCGCAGAAGAAGCCCCGGCUAACUUCGUGCCAGCAGCCGCGGUAAUACGAAGGGGGCUAGCGUUGUUCGGAAUCACUGGGCGUAAAGGGCGCGUAGGCGGCUUUGUAAGUCGGGGGUGAAAGCCUGUGGCUCAACCACAGAAUUGCCUUCGAUACUGCAUGGCUUGAGACCGGAAGAGGUUAGUGGAACUGCGAGUGUAGAGGUGAAAUUCGUAGAUAUUCGCAAGAACACCAGUGGCGAAGGCGGCUGACUGGUCCGGUUCUGACGCUGAGGCGCGAAAGCGUGGGGAGCAAACAGGAUUAGAUACCCUGGUAGUCCACGCCGUAAACGAUGAAUGCCAGCCGUUGGCGAGCUUGCUCGUCAGUGGCGCAGCUAACGCUUUAAGCAUUCCGCCUGGGGAGUACGGUCGC
This 772-nucleotide ribosomal RNA is filed under the name Microvirga sp. RNAcentral's name for it is "bacterial SSU rRNA". It matches the Rfam family "Bacterial small subunit ribosomal RNA", at positions 81 to 889 of the family's 1533-position model. The record is from RNAcentral. Lineage: Bacteria; Pseudomonadati; Pseudomonadota; Alphaproteobacteria; Hyphomicrobiales; Methylobacteriaceae.